GCUCGGGUGGUGGAAUGGUAGACACGCCAGACUUAGGAUCUGGUGCCCCAAAGCAUGAGGGUUCGAGUCCCUCCUCGAGCACCA
Molecule: transfer RNA, 84 nt
Filed under: Puniceicoccales bacterium
Lineage: Bacteria; Pseudomonadati; Verrucomicrobiota; Opitutia; Puniceicoccales
Description: tRNA-Leu
Rfam family: tRNA
About the family: Transfer RNA (tRNA) molecules are approximately 80 nucleotides in length.
Source: RNAcentral